CAGUCGCCACGGGAAUACAGAGGGUGCGAGCGUUAAUCGGAUUUACUGGGCGUAAAGCGUGCGUAGGCGGCUUUUUAAGUCGGAUGUGAAAUCCCUGAGCUUAACUUAGGAAUUGCAUUCGAUACUGGGAAGCUAGAGUAUGGGAGAUGAUGGUAGAAUUCCAGGUGUAGCGGUGAAAUGCGUAGAGAUCUGGAGGAAUACCGAUGGCGAAGGCAGCCAUCUGGCCUAAUACUGACGCUGAGGUACGAAAGCAUGGGGAGCAAACAGGAUUAGAUACCCCCGUAGUCCCUGUCUCUUAUAC
Molecule: ribosomal RNA, 301 nt
Filed under: uncultured bacterium
Lineage: Bacteria
Description: partial 16S ribosomal RNA
Rfam family: Bacterial small subunit ribosomal RNA
Source: RNAcentral